RNAcentral lists this non-coding RNA (81 nucleotides) under Cupriavidus taiwanensis. RNAcentral also lists the same sequence under 1 other name. Lineage: Bacteria; Pseudomonadati; Pseudomonadota; Betaproteobacteria; Burkholderiales; Burkholderiaceae. The record is from RNAcentral.
CUACCGGCGUCGAGAGGUGUCGGGAUGGCGGUGCAGAAGUCAGCAGAGGCCAUAUUAGGCGAGCCGUUGGCGCUGAAGGGC